AAGCUCAAUUUGAAAUCUGGUACCUUCGGUGCCCGAGUUGUAAUUUGGAGAGGGCAACUUUGGGGCCGUUCCUUGUCUAUGUUCCUUGGAACAGGACGUCAUAGAGGGUGAGAAUCCCGUGUGGCGAGGAGUGCGGUUCUUUGUAAAGUGCCUUCGAAGAGUCGAGUUGUUUGGGAAUGCAGCUCUAAGUGGGUGGUAAAUUCCAUCUAAAGCUAAAUAUUGGCGAGAGACCGAUAGCGAACAAGUACAGUGAUGGAAAGAUGAAAAGAACUUUGAAAAGAGAGUGAAAAAGUACGUGAAAUUGUUGAAAGGGAAGGGCAUUUGAUCAGACAUGGUGUUUUGUGCCCUCUGCUCCUUGUGGGUAGGGGAAUCUCGCAUUUCACUGGGCCAGCAUCAGUUUUGGUGGCAGGAUAAAUCCAUAGGAAUGUAGCUUGCCUCGGUAAGUAUUAUAGCCUGUGGGAAUACUGCCAGCUGGGACUGAGGACUGCGACGUAAGUCAAGGAUGCUGGCAUAAUGGUUAUAUGCCGCCCGUCUU
RNAcentral lists this ribosomal RNA (535 nucleotides) under Saccharomyces cerevisiae (brewer's yeast). RNAcentral's name for it is "partial large subunit ribosomal RNA". It matches the Rfam family "Eukaryotic large subunit ribosomal RNA", at positions 104 to 655 of the family's 3401-position model. The record is from RNAcentral. Lineage: Eukaryota; Fungi; Ascomycota; Saccharomycetes; Saccharomycetales; Saccharomycetaceae.